Molecule: ribosomal RNA, 274 nt
Filed under: uncultured bacterium
Lineage: Bacteria
Description: partial 16S ribosomal RNA
Rfam family: Bacterial small subunit ribosomal RNA
Source: RNAcentral
AUACGGAGGGUGCAAGCGUUACUCGGAAUCACUGGGCGUAAAGCGCGCGCAGGCGGGCUGAUAAGUUGGGUGUGAAAGCCUACGGCUCAACCGUAGAACUGCAUCCAAAACUGUCAGUCUAGAGUCUGGGAGGGGAAGAUGGAAUUAGUUGUGUAGGGGUAAAAUCCGUAGAGAUAACUAGGAAUACCAAAAGCGAAGGCGAUCUUCUGGAACAGUACUGACGCUGAGGCGCGAAAGCGUGGGGAGCAAACAGGAUUAGAAACCCUAGUAGUCC